This 433-nucleotide ribosomal RNA is filed under the name uncultured bacterium. RNAcentral describes it as "partial 16S ribosomal RNA". It matches the Rfam family "Bacterial small subunit ribosomal RNA", at positions 29 to 507 of the family's 1533-position model. The record is from RNAcentral.
AACGAACGCUGGCGGCAUGCCUAACACAUGCAAGUCGAACGAGACCUUCGGGUCUAGUGGCGCACGGGUGCGUAACGCGUGGGAACCUGCCCUUAGGUUCGGAAUCACUCCCCGAAAGGGGUGCUAAUACCGGAUAAUGUCUUCGGACCAAAGAUUUAUUGCCUUUGGAUGGGCCCGCGUUGGAUUAGCUAGUUGGUAGGGUAAAAGCGUACCAACGCGACGAUCCAUAGCUGGUCUGAUAGGAUGAUUAGCCACACUGGGACUGAGACACGGCCCAGACUCGUACGGGAGGCAGCAGUGGGGAAUAUUGGACAAUGGGCGAAAGCCUAAUCCAGCAAUGCCGCGUGAGUGAUGAAGGCCUUAGGGUUGUAAAGCUCUUUUACCCGGGAUGAUAAUGACAGUACCGGGAGAAUAAGCUCCGGCUAACUCCGUG